This 821-nucleotide ribosomal RNA is filed under the name Pollenia rudis. Its description in RNAcentral is "SSU rRNA". It matches the Rfam family "Eukaryotic small subunit ribosomal RNA", at positions 431 to 1182 of the family's 1831-position model. The record is from RNAcentral. Lineage: Eukaryota; Metazoa; Arthropoda; Insecta; Diptera; Polleniidae.
GGCGCGUAAAUUACCCACUCCCAGCUCGGGGAGGUAGUGACGAAAAAUAACAAUACAGGACUCAUAUUAGAGGCCCUGUAAUUGGAAUGAGUACACUUUAAAUCCCUUAACAAGGACCUAUUGGAGGGCAAGUCUGGUGCCAGCAGCCGCGGUAACUCCAGCUCCAAUAGCGUAUAUUAAAGUUGUUGCGGUUAAAACGUUCGUAGUUGAACUUGUGCUUCAUACGGGUAGUACGACUAUAAUUGUAGUUUGUACUGUACCUUAUGUAUGUAAGCGUAUUACCGGUGGAGUUCUUAUAUGUAUUAAAUACUUGUAUUUGUACAUAUUCCUCCUAUUUAAACCUGCUUCAGUGCUCUUCAUCGAGUGUUGUUGUGGGCCGGUACAAUUACUUUGAACAAAUUAGAGUGCUUAAAGCAGGCUCCAAAUGCCUGAAUAUUUUGUGCAUGGAAUAAUGAAAUAAGACCUCUGUUCUACUUUCAUUGGUUUUUAGAUCAAGAGGUAAUGAUUAAUAGAAGCAGUUUGGGGGCAUUAGUAUUACGACGCGAGAGGUGAAAUUCUUGGACCGUCGUAAGACUAACUUAAGCGAAAGCAUUUGCCAAAGAUGUUUUCAUUAAUCAAGAACGAAAGUUAGAGGUUCGAAGGCGAUCAGAUACCGCCCUAGUUCUAACCAUAAACGAUGCCAGCUAGCAAUUGGGUGUAGCUACUAUCAUGGCUCUCUCAGUCGCUUCCCGGGAAACCAAAGCUUUUGGGCUCCGGGGGAAGUAUGGUUGCAAAGCUGAAACUUAAAGGAAUUGACGGAAGGGCACCACCAGGAGUGGAGC